GAGGGUAUAGCUCAGAGGUAGAGUGCAUGCUUAACAGGCACAAGGUCCUGGGUUCAAUUCCCGGUACCUUCA
Molecule: transfer RNA, 72 nt
Filed under: Camelus bactrianus (Bactrian camel)
Lineage: Eukaryota; Metazoa; Chordata; Mammalia; Artiodactyla; Camelidae
Also listed under: 2 other names
Rfam family: tRNA
About the family: Transfer RNA (tRNA) molecules are approximately 80 nucleotides in length.
Source: Rfam by way of RNAcentral